CUUUUACUUCAGCUAUUUCCUUCUGAUUAAUAACCAUUGCUGGAGAGCUGUUGUGGUGUUUGGAGGCAUAUCCUGAUCAUCAUCUACUAGAACAGCAAGAGAAGAUAAAACUGGAUGUGCGAGUUCAAAGGUCUACAUUUUGCAAUACGAGAGAACAGCUGAAUUGAACUAGGGAGACAUGAAUUUGUCAUGAAUAAAUCUUGCAGAAGGACUGUAUUCAAACUAUGGAGAUAUGAUAUACAGUGAAUAUAUUUGUGGUUAGCAAAAUGAUGUUACA
RNAcentral lists this long non-coding RNA (277 nucleotides) under Homo sapiens (human). RNAcentral's name for it is "HSALNT0374473". The record is from RNAcentral. Lineage: Eukaryota; Metazoa; Chordata; Mammalia; Primates; Hominidae.